Molecule: long non-coding RNA, 1346 nt
Filed under: Piliocolobus tephrosceles (Ugandan red Colobus)
Lineage: Eukaryota; Metazoa; Chordata; Mammalia; Primates; Cercopithecidae
Description: lncRNA (ENSPTEG00000007508.1)
Source: RNAcentral
AAGCAAUAUAUUAAUGAUGACAAUAUUUUAAUGAAUACUAACAAGGUCACAAAUAACACUAAUAACAAUGACAGUUCCGGACUGUAUAACUCAUCCUACAAUAGUAAUGCGCAUGAUGAAUUGCAAAAUAAUAAUAAUAAUAAUAAUAGUAAUAAUAUAAAUGAUAUGAAUGAUAUAAUGAACAAUUACACUUCACCAAUAAAAAGAAAAUAUGAAGCAAUCGAAAAUAUAAAUAAAAGCAAAGAAACUGAGAAUAAAGAUAUGAAAAAUUUUAAUAAAAAAAUUGCACCUGUAAAUUGUAAUUUUAAUAAUAAUUUAGAUUAUCAUAAAAAUUUUGUGAAUUUAAAUAAUACUUUAAAUAACAAGCAGGAAGAUUCAAAUAAUUAUAAUAACAAUUUAUAUAUGAGUGAAAGACUAUAUAGCAAUACUAACAAUAAUAAUAAUAAUAAUAAUAAUAAUAAUAAUUUAAUUAAUAAAAGUGCAAAUAUAAAUAGGUUUUUAGCUACCAACCAUGAAGAUGCCAAAUUAAACAAGUAUAACAUAAACCGCAAAACAGUUCAGGUUGAAACAAGGUCAGGAAUGACAUUAAAGGGAAAUAUAGCUGUCAGUAUGAACGCUAACCGAAUUAAUAAAGGUAACAACAGCAUCGGUUGUAACAAAAUCGGCAAUAAUAACAUCAUUAGUAAUAACACACUUAACUCUAAUCCACUUGAAAGAAAUUACAGUAACUAUGACAAAAUAAAAAAAAAAGAUGCUUUUUUAAAUGACUAUAACUACGAAGCGAGUUAUAAUUAUUAUCAACCUGAAAAUGCUAACCCCUUAGAUUUAGAGAUUUUUAAGAAUAAAAAUGGAAAUAUAAAUGGAAAUAAAAUUGACGUUUCUAAUUCCGACAUGAAUACAAGCGGUUAUUUGAAUGAUAGUGGUGUGAAAAAUUAUAAAAAUGAGAAUUUUAAUAAUAACUCUUUCUAUGACUUUAACAACUCUUUUAUAAAAAUGAAUCAGUUUCAAAAACAAACAAAUCACUUAACUGAUACUAACAGUGAUAAAAUAUUGAAUAAUUCAAAUAACCAUAAUGAUUUUACAAAAUCGUGUUCAUUUGAUAGAAUGAGUGAAGAGAAUUUUAAUUAUUAUGUGAAAAGAAAAUCCCAAAAUAAAUAUGAUGCUAUCAAUAAAAAUAGAAACACGAUCAAAGAAGUAACUACAUCAUACAAUAAUGUUAAUAAUCACUCUAAUGAUAACAACAUUAGUAAUAGUACUACUACAAAUAAUAAUAAUAUCAAUGGAAAUAGAAACAUAACACCUAGUCGAGCUUCGAUAAAAAUUAAUAAUUUACAAGUAAGUCAAGA